UACGUAUGGUGCAAGCGUUAUCCGGAUUUACUGGGCGUAAAGGGAGCGCAGGCGGCGCGCCAAGUCUGAUGUGAAACCCCGGGGCUCAACCCCGGGCAUGCAUUGGAAACUGGCGGGCUGGAGUGCCGGAGAGGUAAGCGGAAUUCCUAGUGUAGCGGUGAAAUGCGUAGAUAUUAGGAGGAACACCAGUGGCGAAGGCGGAUUACUGGACGAUAACUGACGGUGAGGCGCGAAAGCGUGGGGAGCAAACAGG
RNAcentral lists this ribosomal RNA (253 nucleotides) under uncultured bacterium. Its description in RNAcentral is "partial 16S ribosomal RNA". It matches the Rfam family "Bacterial small subunit ribosomal RNA", at positions 524 to 776 of the family's 1533-position model. The record is from RNAcentral.